RNAcentral lists this long non-coding RNA (2505 nucleotides) under Heterocephalus glaber (naked mole-rat). RNAcentral describes it as "lncRNA (ENSHGLG00100041487.1)". The record is from RNAcentral. Lineage: Eukaryota; Metazoa; Chordata; Mammalia; Rodentia; Bathyergidae.
UUAUUUUCUAUUUUAAAAUUUAUUUUAAGACAGGGUCACUCUAUGUUACUCCUGCUCAUCUCCAACUCCUGGGCUCAACUCUCCUCCUGCCUCAGCCUCCUAAGUGGCUGGGACUGAAGGUAUGAGCCACCACGCUGACUGGCUCUCUUGGGCUCUCUCUAAUGAGCUAGGAAGGGGCUUUGCAACUUCUGGAGACAAAAAGUCUUUUUAAAAACUUAAGCAGGUGUAGUGGUGCACAUCUGUAAUCCCAGUGCUUGGGAGGCUGAAGCAGGCAGAUUGCUGCAGUUUGAGGCCAGCCUGGACUACAUAGUGAGACUGAGUCUCACAAAACAAAAGAAGAAGGAGAAGGAAAAGGAGGAGGAGAAGGAGAAGAAGAGGUGGCAGCAGCAGCAGCAUGAUAUAUAGUCUUCAUAUGAAACCCAGUACAUACAAUGGAUAAAAGUGGCAUUCUGCCAGCACACUUUCAUUUUGUGUGCGCACGUUUUUAACACGCAUUGUAAGCUCACCAGGAGAUUGUUUUGUCUGAUGAAGCUUCGCAGCUGUAGACUGUGGGUGACAGUUGCUGGGUCCUCAGCCCUGGCGCUGGAUGAACUUCUGCUCUUUGCUUUGCCAUGCGGCCCGAAUGUCCUCGGAGGGACAGGCUCAGAACCCAGGUGGUGCGGACUCUGUUCUAGGCCUGCCCUAAACCGAGGCACGCACUCCAUGGUGCUGGUUCCCAAUGUGUGCAUAACAUAGGUAUUUUGAAGGGGUAUGCACGUUAUUCCUUGUUUUAAUAGAAGAGAAAUAUUUCAAGCCAAGAGCACAGGCUUAUCUGUAACGUGAGUCGCCUGGGGAGCGCCUAGGCUGUGGACAGGACUCAGGCAGUGCUGUAGGGCUGGCUCCAGACCACACCUGGAAGUGUCCUUGGUGCCAGCGUGUCUCAGGGUAUAUCGGGCACUCUGAGGACACAGGGACAAAUAGACCCAGGCCAGCCCUGAUGGCUCUCUGCAGAAAUGGACGCUCCUAGGCCUUUCACCUGGGAGAGGAGCAGCUCACGGUGGUCCUCAAAUAGUAAUUUUCAUAGUGAUUUAGUAUAACUUGGUCUCAAAAAACAAAACAAAACAAAACACCCCCAAACCCCAAAUCAGACAGAACACCUAUUUUUCAACAUCUACUUUCCUCUGAGAUUUUUGGGCAGCAACUCCUUUGUGUAGCUCGGGUAAGAUUUGUUUCAAGGUUCUUCCGCAGCCCCACCCCCACCGGAAGCGUGAGACUGUGCAGUUGAGGACAGCUGCUGAAGAUUGAUGACCCCCCUCUCUCUUUGUAUUCCUUGGUUUCAGAUCCCAAGCUGCUGUUGCAAAGAGACAAGAAGCAGUCGGGUCAUGUGCUAGCAACAUCACACAACUGAGGGAAUUAAAAAAAAAAACAGACUUCUCUGGUAUUUGUUGGUGAAGGCUGAAGCAGUAGGAGUAGGCUCUGGGGAAGGUGAGGAAACUAAGGAGCUGUGAGUGAGGUGCCUGAGCCAGCUCCAGUUUCUCCCUUCCCAGUGUCCUGCCAGUGGAGGGGGCUGCGUGUGCUGUUCUAUCCAUCCUUGGCUUGGGGCUUAGCAGGCAGUUUCCUGUCUCUGAGCUGGUCACAGCUUUUGGAGAUACCUGGAGGUGUUAAUGACAUUGCCAAUGUUUCACAGAGGCUCCAGGACCCCUGAGCUGCCCAUGACGGACCGUGUGGGUCCACCAGGAACAGCUGCACGGGGACCGGAACCUCCACCCACUUGCCUUCCACAGCCUGUGCUUGUCUGCUUCCUACUCAAGGGACUUUGGUGGCUCUCUCUGAGCCCUGUGAGCCUCAGUGUUCCCAUCUGUAGAAUAACGACAGUGCCGUCCACCUCAGCGUGUCGUUGAAGCUGGCCCAUAGGAAGCUCUCGGGGAAAAGGCAGCUACUAUUGUAAUGGUCUGGACUCACGGACAAUGAGGAUGUGCAUUAUCACUUAAGAAAAGUAGCCUGUGGUGAACAGAAGUCUUAAACUCAAAGCUUAGAAGGGUUGGUGAUGAUGAAGGACUGGGUCCCUUCAUCCCAGGUGACCAUGACAGUUUGGGUUUUCAGUGGCCGUGGAGUGGACAUCAGUGGAGGCUUAAAAUUGUUUGUUUUUUUUGUUUUGUUUUUGGUACCAGGGAUCAAACUUGGGACCUUGUGCUUUCGAGGCAGGCGGUGGAACCACUGAACUAAAUCCCCAGUCCAUACUUUUUUUUUGGGGGGCUUGAAAUUUAAUUGGGAAAUGUUGAUUUCAUUCUUUGGGGGAGAUUCUGCAUAUCUACUGCUGUCAUACAACUCAAGCCCAGGGUAUAGUGCAGGCCACAUGCACUGUAAUGACCUCCUUCAAAGCCACCUCUGUGUUCCCGAGAUUGAAACCCGUUGACUGAAAGACCAGAACAAUACCCUCUGUCAUUCAAUCAGGACAGCACUGUAUUGAUUCAGAAGUCACACACACACACACACACACACACACACACACGCGUCUGCGUGCGC